CCAGCAGCUGCGGUAAUUCCAGCUCCAAUAGCGUAUGUUUAAGUUGUUGCAGUUAAAAAGCUCGUAGUUGGAUUUCGGGUGGGUUUCAGCGGUCCGCCUAUGGUGAGUACUGCUGUGGCCUAUCUUACUGUCGGGGACCUGCUUCUGGGCUUCAUUGUCCGGGACAGGGAUUCGGCAUGGUUACUUUGAGUAAAUUAGAGUGUUCAAAGCAGGCUUACGCCGUGAAUACUUUAGCAUGGAAUAACAUGAUAGGACUCUGCCCUAUUUUGUUGGCCUGUAGGAGUGGAGUAAUGAUUAAGAGGAACAGUCGGGGGCAUUCGUAUUUCAUUGUCAGAGGUGAAAUUCUUGGAUUUAUGAAAGACGAACUACUGCGAAAGCAUUUGCCAAGGAUGUUUUCAUUAAUCAAGAACGAAAGU
RNAcentral lists this ribosomal RNA (416 nucleotides) under uncultured eukaryote. Its description in RNAcentral is "SSU rRNA". It matches the Rfam family "Eukaryotic small subunit ribosomal RNA", at positions 567 to 990 of the family's 1831-position model. The record is from RNAcentral.